RNAcentral lists this ribosomal RNA (468 nucleotides) under uncultured bacterium. Its description in RNAcentral is "partial 16S ribosomal RNA". It matches the Rfam family "Bacterial small subunit ribosomal RNA", at positions 28 to 507 of the family's 1533-position model. The record is from RNAcentral.
GACGAACGCUGGCGGCGUGCUUAACACAUGCAAGUCGAACGGAAAGGCCCUGCUUUUGUGGGGUGCUCGAGUGGCGAACGGGUGAGUAACACGUGAGUAACCUGCCCUUGACUUUGGGAUAACUUCAGGAAACUGGGGCUAAUACCGGAUAGGAGCUCCUGCUGCAUGGUGGGGGUUGGAAAGUUUCGGCGGUUGGGGAUGGGCUCGCGGCUUAUCAGCUUGUUGGUGGGGUAGUGGCUUACCAAGGCUUUGACGGGUAGCCGGCCUGAGAGGGUGACCGGCCACAUUGGGACUGAGAUACGGCCUAGACUCCUACGGGAGGCAGCAGUGGGGAAUAUUGCACAAUGGGCGGAAGCCUGAUGCAGCAACGCCGCGUGCGGGAUGACGGCCUUCGGGUUGUAAACCGCUUUCGCCUGUGACGAAGCGUGAGUGACGGUAAUGGGUAAAGAAGCACCGGCUAACUACGUG